This 586-nucleotide ribosomal RNA is filed under the name uncultured bacterium. Its description in RNAcentral is "partial 16S ribosomal RNA". It matches the Rfam family "Bacterial small subunit ribosomal RNA", at positions 355 to 1375 of the family's 1533-position model. The record is from RNAcentral.
UGGGGAAUUUUGGACAAUGGGCGAAAGCCUGAUCCAGCAAUGCCGCGUGUGAAGAAGGCCUUCGGGUUGUAAAGCACUUUUGUCCGGAAAGAAAUCCUUGGCUCUAAUACAGUCGGGGGAUGACGGUACCGGAAGAAUAAGCACCGGCUAACUACGUGCCAGCAGCCGCGGUAAUACGUAGGGUGCAAGCGUUAAUCGGAAUUACUGGGCGUAAAGCGUGCGCAGGCGGUUUGCUAAGACCGAUGUGAAAUCCCCGGGCUCAACCUGGGAACUGCAUUGGUGACUGGCAGGCUAGAGUAUGGCAGAGGGGGGUAGAAUUCCACGUGUAGCAGUGAAAUGCGUAGAGAUGUGGAGGAAUACCGAUGGCGAAGGCAGCCCCCUGGGCCAAUACUGACGCUCAUGCACGAAAGCGUGGGGGAGCAAACAGGAUUCAGAUACCCUGGUAGUCCACGCCCUAAACGAUGUCAACUAGUUGUUGGGGAUUCAUUUCCUUAGUAACGUAGCUAACGCGUGAAGUUGACCGCCUGGGGGAGUACGGUCGCAAGAUUAAAACUUAAAGGAAUUGACGGGGUCAUAGCUGUUUCCU